Molecule: ribosomal RNA, 405 nt
Filed under: uncultured bacterium
Lineage: Bacteria
Description: partial 16S ribosomal RNA
Rfam family: Bacterial small subunit ribosomal RNA
Source: RNAcentral
AUUGAACGCUAGCGGGAUGCUUUACACAUGCAAGUCGAACGAGUGGCGGACGGGUGAGUAAUAUAUCGGAAUGUGCCCAGUAGCGGGGGAUCACUACUCGACAGAGUGGCUAAUACCGCAUCCUAUAGGAGCGGCCGAUCUCGGAUUAGCUAGGUGGGGGGGUUAAGGCUCACCAAGGCAACUAGCCGUAGCUGGUUUGAGAGGACGACCAGCCACACUGGGACUGUGACACUGCCCAGACUCCUACGGGAGUCAGCAGUGGGGAAUUUUGGACAAUGGGGGAAACCCUGAUCCAGCCAUCCCGCGUGUAUGAGAAGGCCUUCGGGUUGUAAAGUACUUUUUGCCGAGAAGCGGUAUCUGCAGAAUAAGCACCGGCUAACUUCGUGCCAGCAGCCGCGGUAAUUC